Molecule: ribosomal RNA, 253 nt
Filed under: uncultured bacterium
Lineage: Bacteria
Description: partial 16S ribosomal RNA
Rfam family: Bacterial small subunit ribosomal RNA
Source: RNAcentral
UACGGAGGGUGCAAGCGUUGUCCGGAUUUAUUGGGUUUAAAGGGUGCGUAGGUGGGUGUUUAAGUCUGGUUUGAAAGCAGGUGGCUCAACCAUCUGAUGUGGCUGGAAACUGGGCAUCUUGAAUGGGUUGGCGGUAGCCGGAAUGGGUCAUGUAGCGGUGAAAUGCAUAGAUAUGACCCGGAACACCGAUUGCGAAGGCAGGCUACUACGACUUGAUUGACACUGAGGCACGAGAGCAUGGGUAGCGAACAGG